UACGAAGGGGGCUAGCGUUGUUCGGAAUUACUGGGCGUAAAGCGCGCGUAGGCGGAUAUUUUAGUCAGGGGUGAAAUCCCGGGGCUCAACCCCGGAACUGCCUUUGAUACUGGAUAUCUUGAGUUCGAGAGAGGUAAGUGGAAUUGCGAGUGUAGAGGUGAAAUUCGUAGAUAUUCGCAGGAACACCAGAGGCGAAGGCGGCUUACUGGCUCGAUACUGACGCUGAGGUGCGAAAGCGUGGGGAGCAAACAGG
RNAcentral lists this ribosomal RNA (253 nucleotides) under uncultured Aurantimonas sp. RNAcentral describes it as "partial 16S ribosomal RNA". It matches the Rfam family "Bacterial small subunit ribosomal RNA", at positions 524 to 776 of the family's 1533-position model. The record is from RNAcentral. Lineage: Bacteria; Pseudomonadati; Pseudomonadota; Alphaproteobacteria; Hyphomicrobiales; Aurantimonadaceae.